Molecule: long non-coding RNA, 4649 nt
Organism: Bombus huntii
Lineage: Eukaryota; Metazoa; Arthropoda; Insecta; Hymenoptera; Apidae
Exons: 2
Source: RefSeq, a predicted model, not a curated record
ACGAGCAUCAGCGUUUCGUUAGAACCGUUAACUUCGUGCCACCGCCGUAUGGAUCGUUUCCUCGCCGGGUAGACGCUCGCGAUAGAAGAAUAACAGGGAUGGGGAACAGGACGGAGGAAGGUGAACAUUUUUGCCGUGGAAACUGGAUGGCACUUGGUAACAAUGGCCAGGAAGUUUUGACGAGAAACGAACGACAGGUUCCUGCUUCUUAAGUUGAAUUUUCUCUCAAAGAGAUUACGAUUAGGAUUUUUAUGCAAAUUUCCGUGUUCUCUGGAUAUACGUCGAUGGACAUAUGUGAUUGAGAUUCGUUUUACUUAUCGAAGAUUAGAGUAAAUUAAGUGGAAUGUCUGAUUUGAAUAUUUUAUACAUUUUUAUGUAUCACGUACAUGCACUUUGUGUAUUUUUGCUGUUUUAAAUUUCACGUAAAUCGGUAGCAAUCUGGAUAUUAGACCUUGUUUCGAGGUUUUUUUAUUUAGGAUACAGAGAAGAGAAUUUUCAAUGGAAUAUUUAGGUUACAUACGUAUAUAUACGGAGUGAUCGAUGAAUGAAAAGUCGAUAAUAGUAAGGCUCGUAGUAACGGAACAAUAGUACUAUUUGUUUUCCUUUCAUUCUUUCCAAACCACCGUACAAUCAUCGGCGAAGGUCUUCGCAGGCCUUGACCUUUCAGACGUCGAGGUUGUGAAGAAUUAUAGAACUAUGGCGAUUACAUCUCGUUUAAAACUCAACCUUAUUACGUAAGCGAUAUACUAAGACUUUAAUAGAUAACUGGUAUUUUAUUAUCGAUAAACGACGAUAUUUUUGACAAUGACUCACAGCUUUAGAAUUAUCCAAAAACUAGAAAGAAUUAUUGCAAUUCUCAUAGAGAUCACAGAUAGAACAUGUAAUCGGACAAAAUGCAACCAGAAGCAUGUAAAAUCGAACAGUUAUUAUAUUUGUAAAAAUUAUUGUAUUCUCAGAGUCUAACUUUUAUUUAAUGAAAUUAUUAUCACGUUGAUUCGAUGUAGUUGAAAGAAGAAUAAAAAACUAUUUUCCUACCGUUUACCUCUUUUUCCAGUGAAUAAACCCAGCUCGUUUAAAGAAAAAGCAGAGAACAAAUCGUUUCGAGACGACUUCGUUCCCCGCCGUAUUAACGUAAUUCAUAACACAAUACAUAAAAAUUGAAAGUUUUCGAGUAAUUAUGGCACACAGUGUAUAUAGAUGGAAAAAGAAAAGCAUCGUGUCUGCGGAACGUCUGGAUUCCGGUUAAUUAUGUUAAUACGCCGACGCGGCGCGGCGUCUCGAAACUCGCGAAACAUUCUUCUCUCUCUCCUUCUCUCCUUCCCCCUCUUUUCUACCUUAUGACGAAGAAAGAAUGUGAAGGUGGGGGAAGGUAAAAAUUCAACGUUAUUAUUUCAGUCACGAGCAUACGUAAACACGUAUGUGUGUCUCGCAUGUUCAUUCGAUGACUGUUUACCAGUCGAAGAAAGGCUUCCUCGAGCGCUUUAAAUAAAGGUCGUUCUCCCCUCCACUAUUUCCCCUCCAGCGCUUCAAUCAGCUGACUGGCACACUCCCCUCCCUCGCCGCACAGCUGUUGUAUAAAUAUACAUCGUUACAACGUUGAGUCAGGUUAGGCUGGUGCUAGGCUAGACACCGCACCAGCCACUGGCACCGUUAUUAUCAUACACUGUUGCCUUACGUAUAGUAGUAUAGUUAACGCGUAUCGAGCUCGACAACGCGAGCAAAUAUAUUUACUUACAUACAUCGCGUACUUCUCUCGCUACUUAACAUAUUGUUGAGCUAUUAGCGCGUGAAAAAAUUAACUCGUGCAAACGUACAUUUCCGUAAUUGAACAAAGAACGAGGCGAAUAAAUUUUUAAAAUUAUUUUUAAGGAAAUUUAUGAAAUAGAACGCGCGAAACCUAUAAUCGCGAUUUUAUGUAAUUUUAUGCAAUUACGAAAGAAUAUAUUCAUUUAUGUAAAUAUACGAAUAUAUUCAAUAAUUAGACCGGUUGACGAAUACUAUCGGCUAAACAUUUUACAGUUUCUUCUACGUUACGUUUCCUGAAUGCUGAUCACAAAUUUUUCCUCUAUAUUCUGCUAUGCAAACACAAAUAUAUUUCUGGCUAAACAACGGUAUUUAAACGUAUGCGUGUAUACACGGUGUUGAUAAAUUGUUGAAACGAUUCUGCAAACAAACAUGACGAUUAAUACGCAAAAACGUGGUUUCAGAUUUAUUUCUCUAGUUAUACGAGAAAUGACUACGUAUAUGUAAUAAGAAAAUUGUAUUUAUUUUGUAUAUGUAAUAAGAUAAUUGUGUUUAUUCAUUUUUAUUUUUUUAUUAUAUAUAUUUGUCGGAGAAGAGUCAGGAACAGGGUUGUGGGCGUUUGAUAGACCUCCCUUGGAGUUGGCCAUCGUUGUGUGAUAACGAAGACGCGGCCUGAUGCUACGAGUAUGGAUACUACCGAUUCGACAAUCAGCAGCGGUGAUUGGGCACUUGCGAUGUUAGCGACGUUGGUCUUAGGUUCGAUGACGAAUCCACGGUCAACGGGAUGGAAGAGAUACUUGCUCUAACUCAAACUCACUGAUCGUCAGGCCCUGCUCCCUUCGUCGGUGGGAUCUCAAGAAAGAAUGAAUCUUCGUCCCAAUGAUGCCACAGAGGAAAACUAUGAUGGGGUGUGUCUAAGGUGACGAGAUCAUCGGAUCCGUCGGAUAUAGCUCUCGUUCCGAAAGUAAGGGAAAUUGACGUCACUGUCGAUUGGUCAGUUUGGGACAAAGACUGUCUGUCCGUUUGGAAAAUCUUAAUUGCCUAAAAAACCCAGGUUUUAUAGCGGGUCCUCGGGCUAACUGGACUUGUGCCGUGUACGUGCCUCAACAUCAGGCGAAGCGCCCGUCCCGUUGACCGCGGCUACGUUCGGCGACUGAUGGUCGCCUUGAGCCCAAGUUUAUUAUCACAAAUCGCAAACAAGUACAAUUGGGCAGGAUGACGGCAAAUUGUUUAAUUACGACCGUAAACUUUAAUUGCAAUUUUACGGAUUUUCCCGAAGUUCCAGAGGGGCGGCUCCGGUCUCCUUUCAUCUCCGACAUAUUUAAAAGAAAAAAGACGCGGUAGUUUGAAAAUUAAGGAGAUGUAAGCAUGUGGAGGAAUAAAUAUCUUUAGUCGAAAAGAAGAAAAUUCUUGCACUGAUUCGAGACACCGUGAAGAAAGUCUACAGUAUCGGGAAGCCUUUUAUUCCUAAUCGAAGGACGAAGCCGUGUGGAAGCCGUCGAUCGCCGGAAAUUGUCUUGGACCAGCGCGCUUUCUGCGUUCCGGGGAUCGAUGGAGCGCUAUCUACCCUCUGACGCGUCCAAAAUCGACUUGCAACCGUGUCAUCGACGAUCGAUGAACCCCGACAUUCGACAAAGUAAGACGCAGUACUUGAAUUGUUUCGGUUACGGAACAUUUGGUCGAUUGAUUAACCCAAUUCCCAAUGCCAUACAAAACAAUGUCCAGUCAUUCUGCAUGACUUUACAUUUCGACACAACUUGUAUCAUAAGUAUGACGACGCUUCUACGUUUAUUAUUAGAAUAUGAAAAAGUAGAUUUUCAUAAAACAUUGUAUUUUACAAAUGUAUUACAAAUGUAUUAGGUUGUCCGAAAAGCGUCUUUCUGUUGCAGACAUGUCUUUUACAACGACGCAUCUUUAUACAAACAUGAAACCAAAUCCGUCGAAUGUUGUGAGCUUUAUUUUGAUAGAACAAAAUGGAUCAUACGUAAUUCGAUAGAAUAAUAUAAAACGGGGAAUGUCAUACUUCCAUUAUUUCCUUAUAAAACGAAAGAUACUUUUCGGACGACCUAAUAUGUGCGUGCACAGCGUCUCGUAAAACAGAUGAAUACAAUUGGUCCACAAUUGUGGUAGUGUGGUAAAGAAGAUGGUGAGACAAAGAGAAUGCUGAGACUCGUGCAAAUUUGUAUCGACGAAUAUCUUGCAAAUCACAUAUUAAAUAAAUCUGAAACUAUUUUGAUAUCAAUUCUAAGUGUAAUCCAAGUGUUGCUACACAUUUAUUUCGGCGAUUAAGAUCCGCAAUUCCCAACAGAUAUAAAUUUUUAUAAAAUAUAAAAGUAUAAAAUAUUAUCAAUAUAAAAUUGGAAAUAUUAUAUUAAUAAUAUAAAUAUUUAUAUUAAUAAAUAUUAGGUUGUCCGAAAAGUGUCUUUCUGUUUCAGACACGUCUUUUACAACAACGCAUCUAUAUGCAAACAUGAAACCUAAUCCGUCGAACUUUGUGAGCUUUAUUUUGAUAGAACAAAAUGGAUCAUACGUAAUUAGAUAGAAUAAUAUAAAACGGAAAAUAUUGUGCCUUCAUUAUUUCCUUAUAAAACUUUUCGGACGACUUUGAGAACGACAAGAGUUGUAACGAAGACAAAGAGAAGAAACACGAAUUAACAAUUAAUAAAUUUUACUAUUAGAAUUAUUAUUCUAUCAAAUUUUUUAUUCUUCUUUUGCAAAGCUUGUAUUACGACGAUUUUCACCGGUAAAAAUGACGGAUCUUAGACUCUUUACUUUUACUUUUAACUAUCAGAGAUAUUCCAGCGUUUUUGACAAAACGAAUGCUAACUUUUAUUGAAAUGGAAAUACGGCUUUGUACACUAUUUUAUUUAUAAUAUAUCAUUUUAAUUAAAAUCAUCUAUAACCGA